Non-coding RNA from Triticum aestivum (bread wheat), 115 nucleotides. The record is from Rfam. Lineage: Eukaryota; Viridiplantae; Streptophyta; Magnoliopsida; Poales; Poaceae.
UAUGUACUCCCUCCGUUCGGAAUUACUUGUGGUGGAAAUGGAUGUAUCUAGACGUAUUUUAGUUCUAGAUACAUCCAUUUCCGAGACAAGUAAUUCCGAACGGAGGGAGUAUCAA